Molecule: ribosomal RNA, 253 nt
Filed under: uncultured bacterium
Lineage: Bacteria
Description: partial 16S ribosomal RNA
Rfam family: Bacterial small subunit ribosomal RNA
Source: RNAcentral
UACGAAGGGGGCUAGCGUUGCUCGGAAUCACUGGGCGUAAAGCGCACGUAGGCGGACUUUUAAGUCAGAGGUGAAAUCCCAAGGCUCAACCUUGGAACUGCCUUUGAUACUGGGAGUCUUGAGUUCGGGAGAGGUGAGUGGAACUGCGAGUGUAGAGGUGAAAUUCGUAGAUAUUCGCAAGAACACCAGUGGCGAAGGCGGCUCACUGGCCCGAUACUGACGCUGAGGUGCGAAAGCGUGGGGAGCAAACAGG